AGGAACCUUACUUAUUCUUGACAUCCUAAGAAUUUGUAAGAAAUCACUUGGUGCCUUGGGGAGCGCAGAAACAGGUGCACAUGGCUUUCGUCAUGGUGUUUGAAAUGUUGGGUUAAUUCCCGUAACGAGCGCAACCCUUGUCUUUAUUUGCCAGCGGGUAAUGCCAGAACUUUAAGGAGACUGCCGGUGACAAACCGGAGGAAGUGGGGGACGACGUCAAGUCUUCAUGGCCCUUACGAGUAGGGCUACACACGUGCUACAAUGGCCGGUACAAAGGGUUGCGAGCUCGCGAGAGUCAGCUAAUCCCGAAAAGCCGGUCUCAGUCCGGAUGGGAGUCUGCAACUCGACUCCGUGAAGUGGGAAUCGCUAGUAAUCGUGAAUCAGAAUGUCACGGUGAAUACGUUCCCGGGCUUUUACACCCCCCCCG
RNAcentral lists this ribosomal RNA (427 nucleotides) under uncultured bacterium. Its description in RNAcentral is "bacterial SSU rRNA". It matches the Rfam family "Bacterial small subunit ribosomal RNA", at positions 964 to 1396 of the family's 1533-position model. The record is from RNAcentral.